AUGAACGCUGGCGGCAUGGAUUAGGCAUGCAAGUCGAACGAUGAAGCCUAGCUUGCUAGGUGAAUUAGUGGCGAAAGGGUGAGUAACGCGUGAGCAAUCUGCCCUCAAGAUUGGGACAACACCUGGAAACGGGUGCUAAUACCGGAUGUGCUUAUAAUGACAUAAGUUAUAAUAAGUAAAAAUUUAUUGCUUGAGGAUGGGCUCGCGUUCCAUUAGCUAGUUGGUAAGGUAACGGCUUACCAAGGCAACGAUGGAUAGCUGGUCUGAGAGGAUGACCAGCCACACUGGGACUGAGAUACUGCCCAGACUCCUACGGGAGGCUGCAGUCGAGAAUCUUCCGCAAUGCGCGAAAGCGUGACGGAGCAAUGCCGCGUGCAGGAUGAAGGCCCUUGGGUUGUAAACUGCUGUCACUAGGGAUGAAUAAAAUGACAGUACCUAGAGAGGAAGCACCGGCUAACUACGUGCCAGCAGCCGCGGUAAUACGUAGGGUGCGAGCGUUAUUCGGAUUUAUUGGGCGUAAAGGGUCCGCAGGGUGUAAUUUAAGUCAGAUGUGAAAUCCAACGGCUCAACCGUUGAACUGCAUUUGAAACUGAAUUACUAGAGUAUCGGAGAGGUGAAUGGAAAUUCUUGGAGUAGCGGUGGAAUGCGUAGAUAUCAAGAAGAACACCAAAAGCGAAAGGCAGUUCACUGGCCGAUUACUGACCCUCAUGGGACGAAAGCGUGGGUAGCGAAAAGGAUUAGAUACCCUUGUAGUCCACGCUGUAAACGUUGUGUACUAGGUGUAGGAGGAUUUUACCCCUUCUGUGCCUGAGCUAACGCCGUAAGUACACCGCCUGGGGACUACGGCCGCAAGGCUAAAACUCAAAGGAAUUGACGGGGACCCGCACAAGCGGUGGAGCAUGUGGCUUAAUUCGAGGCAACGCGAAGAACCUUACCUGGACUUGACAUCUAGUGACCGUCUAUGAAAGUAGAUUUCCCUUCGGGGCACAAAGACAGGUGCUGCAUGGCUGUCGUCAGCUCGUGCCGUGAGGUGUUCGGUUAAGUCCGGCAACGAGCGCAACCCACGAUAUUAGUUACCAUCAGGUGAUGCUGGGGACUCUAAUAUGACUGCCCGUGUAAGCGGGAGGAAGGCGUGGACGACGUCAAGUCAGUAUGGCCCUUAUGUCCAGGGCUGCACACGUGCUACAAUGGCCAGUACAAUGGGCUGCAAAACUGUGAGGUUGAGCAAAUCCUUAAAACUGGUCUUAGUUCGGAUUGUAGUCUGCAACUCGACUACAUGAAGUUGGAAUCGCUAGUAAAGGCGUAUCAGCUACGACGCCUUGAAUACGUUCCCGGGUCUUGUACUCACCGC
This 1351-nucleotide ribosomal RNA is filed under the name uncultured marine bacterium. RNAcentral describes it as "bacterial SSU rRNA". It matches the Rfam family "Bacterial small subunit ribosomal RNA", at positions 29 to 1393 of the family's 1533-position model. The record is from RNAcentral.